UAACAAAACAAGAAACUAAAAGGGGCAAGUUACCCCCUCCAUUUUCGUGAACCAGGGAACAAAAUCCCUAGGUGCCAUUUUCGCACCUUCGUUUCCAGCGGAAGUGGCAACGGCGUGGCCCCAAGACGUCGUCCCCAACUCGAAGUUUCUCUCAGCAGUGGUUCUAUUCAACGGUGAUAGCGAAGACGAAGGGAAAGAAAUCCCAAAUCUCUUCAACGGUGACAGCGGUGGCGAUAAGCCACAAUGGUGGUUCUUCCGCGAGGAGGUGCUUCGAGUCCGGUGCUUCCGGCGAUGAUAAGGGAGCUGCUCUUGGAGACAUCAGUGCUACUGUUAGGGUCAUAAAUUAUUGGUCACCUUGCAAAUUACAUCUUCCUUUAACAGUGGCCCCAUGAAACCUUAUGCUAUAAGGACCUUGAAUGUUAUAACUUAAUUUGUCAAAGUGAUUGCCUCCUUUUGCUAUGUAUACGUUUAUCCAUUUUGCAAGUGUAAAUGUUUGUUUACAUUGAGUAGUGUGCGAGAGAGAUUGUUGAUAGGCUUUUCUAGCUAAUAUACUCAUGACCUUGUUUGGUAUGACAUUUUAUUUCCUUGGAGACUUUAAACUUAAGCAUCUGUCUAGAUCAUUGAUGUAACCAGAGAAUCUAGGUGUAAACCUUCUAUGUUCACUUUGUGCUUCAACCAUUGGAACAACUUGGCUUACUAUGAAGAGCAAAAAAAUGUGUCCUUA
Lupinus albus (white lupine) is the source of this 724-nucleotide non-coding RNA. The record is from the annotation of a GenBank genome assembly. NCBI's taxonomy places the organism in Eukaryota, Viridiplantae, Streptophyta, Magnoliopsida, Fabales, Fabaceae.